AAGAUGAGGCCUUGCUAUAUUGCCCAGGCUGGUCCCAAACUCCUGGCCUCAAGCAGUCCUUUCUCCUAGGCUCCCCAAAGUGCUGGGAUUACAGGAAUGAGCCACGGCACCUGGCCACAAACUUUAUCUCCUCCCGUGUAUGUUUUAACUUCUGUGAUCCCUGUAGCCGAUCAUAUGUGCUGUUAAUGGAAUUAAUAAUUCACCUAAAUGUGGGCAAAAGUAUGCCCUCCAAAAAGCAGCAUAGAAAUGGAACACGAAAGGGAAACAUUUCCAUGGUAGCGCAUGGAAAUUUCAUUAACCAAAUUAAAUUGUUUUAUUUAUAAACAGCUUAUUACCUACAAGUGAUGCACAUAUGUG
This 357-nucleotide long non-coding RNA is filed under the name Homo sapiens (human). RNAcentral's name for it is "HSALNT0333641". Lineage: Eukaryota; Metazoa; Chordata; Mammalia; Primates; Hominidae. The record is from RNAcentral.